GGACAGUCAAGCACUACACUACUCGAAACAGCGUAGACAUCGCUGGGACUCUGGAUGUAGGCACACUGGACAAAAAGAUUAGUCACCGCCCAGGAAACAGAGUCCACAGGUUUAUUCAGAUGGUCUGGGACAGGAGCCAGAAAGCCUCGUGAAGUCAAUUGAAGAGCAGCUUGAACAAGCAGUGACAUUGACACACCAACUGCCGACGUGGAGACGAAUAAAGAGGCCUGCGACUGGCUGUGAAUAACGCAACAAUAAAGGGAGCUGUCGGCUCCCGUUCUGCAGUAGUAGGACUCAAAUGCCCGACCGCAUUGAUGUUUCUCUCUUCAAAUGAACAAGAGCAUCACCAGAAUUUAUAGUUUGAAGUUGCCUGACAGCAUUAACGACUGCGUUUAAAGUUGACUGGCAGCUCUAAAGAUUAAACUGGUCAUACUAUAUUACUGAAACUUACGUUUAAAGUACGGUAGCGUACGAUGACACUGACAGCAACAAAGAUGAAAUUCAUCAUCUGAAGAAGGAAAGCGAAUUGGAAUGAGAUUAAGACAGCCACCAAACUGACUCAUUCGUCAUUGAACCAGUCAUCAACUUUCCUGAUUCCCGACACGACCCGAUGGAUCGUCAAGAAAUAUCACUUCCCCUUCACACAGUGAAAUUCCCAGUGUUCUCCACCAGAAAGUGAAUAGGUGAUUCCAGUUAUAGUGCAGUGCAAAGUGUUCGGUGAUGAAAGAACUCUCCUGUGAAAAUCACCCGAGUUCAUA
Long non-coding RNA from Schistocerca nitens (vagrant locust), 758 nucleotides. RefSeq lists it as uncharacterized. NCBI's taxonomy places the organism in Eukaryota, Metazoa, Arthropoda, Insecta, Orthoptera, Acrididae. The record is from RefSeq and is a predicted model, not a curated record. The transcript has 4 exons.